RNAcentral lists this ribosomal RNA (793 nucleotides) under uncultured bacterium. RNAcentral describes it as "bacterial SSU rRNA". It matches the Rfam family "Bacterial small subunit ribosomal RNA", at positions 105 to 895 of the family's 1533-position model. The record is from RNAcentral.
GGUGAGUAACACGUAGGCAACCUGCCUUCAGGACGGGGAUAACUCCGAGAAAUCGGGGCUAAUACCCGAUAACGCAGCGGCACCGCAUGGUGACAGUUGUUAAAUGCUACGGCGCCUGAAGAUGGGCCUGCGUCCCAUUAGGUAGUUGGCGGGGUAACGGCCCACCAAGCCGACGAUGGGUAGCUGGUCUGAGAGGACGAUCAGCCACACUGGAACUGAGACACGGUCCAGACUCCUACGGGAGGCAGCAGUGAGGAAUAUUGCGCAAUGUCCGAAAGGGUGACGCAGCGACGCCGCGUGGAGGAUGAAGGCCCUCUGGGUCGUAAACUCCUGUUGAGAGGGAAGAACGGAGUGCUAUAGGCGCUCUUGACGGUACCUCUAGAGAAAGCACCGGCUAACUACGUGCCAGCAGCCGCGGUAAUACGUGGGGUGCAAGCGUUGUCCGGAUUCACUGGGUGUAAAGGGAGCGCAGGCGGGUCUUCAAGUCGAUGGUGAAAUCUUGCGGCUCAACCGCAAAACAGCCGUCGAUACUGUUAAUCUUGAGUGUGGAAGAGAGUGGCGGAAUUCAUGGUGUAGCAGUGAAAUGCGUAGAUAUCAUGAAGAACACCGGUUGCGAAGGCGGCCACUUAGUCCAUUACUGACGCUCAUGCUCGAAAGCGUGGGGAUCAAACAGGAUUAGAUACCCUGGUAGUCCACGCCCUAAAACGAUGAAUACUCGGUGUCGGGUCGCAAGAUUCGGCGCCUAAGCAAAACGCAUUAAGUAUUCCACCUGGGAAAGUACGAUCGCAAGGUU